RNAcentral lists this ribosomal RNA (155 nucleotides) under uncultured bacterium. Its description in RNAcentral is "partial 16S ribosomal RNA". It matches the Rfam family "Bacterial small subunit ribosomal RNA", at positions 355 to 507 of the family's 1533-position model. The record is from RNAcentral.
UAGGGAAUAUUGGGCAAUGGGCGCAAGCCUGACCCAGCCAUGCCGCGUGAAGGAUGACUGCCCUAUGGGUUGUAAACUUCUUUUGUACGGGAAGAAACCCCUCUACGUGUAGAGGGCUGACGGUACCGUAAGAAUAAGGAUCGGCUAACUCCGUG